UACGGAGGGUGCAAACGUUGCUCGGAAUUAUUGGGCGUAAAGCGCACGUAGGCGGUUUGCUACGUCGGAUGUGAAAGCCCCGGGCUUAACCCGGGAAGGGCAUCCGAAACUGGCAGGCUUGAGUACGGAAGAGGGUCUCGGAAUUCCCGGUGUAGAGGUGAAAUUCGUAGAUAUCGGGAGGAACACCAGUGGCGAAGGCGGAGACCUGGGCCGAUACUGACGCUGAGGUGCGAAAGCGUGGGGAGCAAACAGG
RNAcentral lists this ribosomal RNA (253 nucleotides) under uncultured bacterium. RNAcentral describes it as "partial 16S ribosomal RNA". It matches the Rfam family "Bacterial small subunit ribosomal RNA", at positions 524 to 776 of the family's 1533-position model. The record is from RNAcentral. RNAcentral also lists the same sequence under 1 other name.